RNAcentral lists this small RNA (92 nucleotides) under Olleya aquimaris. Its description in RNAcentral is "Flavo-1 RNA". Lineage: Bacteria; Pseudomonadati; Bacteroidota; Flavobacteriia; Flavobacteriales; Flavobacteriaceae. The record is from RNAcentral.
ACACAUUAGCGAUUGAGGUAUUUGUCGAAGCUCUUUUUGUGUUGUUGCGUAUAUGCAACACAAAAAAGCGACUACCGAAAGCGCGACCCUUG